Molecule: long non-coding RNA, 216 nt
Filed under: Homo sapiens (human)
Lineage: Eukaryota; Metazoa; Chordata; Mammalia; Primates; Hominidae
Description: HSALNT0021486
Source: RNAcentral
UGAGCAAAGAACGGUAGGGAAGGGACCAGGUGUGUGGGGUCAGGGGCAAGCAAGAUACCAACACAGCCACACUGGAACACAGCCUGUGUAAAAGCAGGGGCAUGGGUAACUCGGAGGAAUGACUCAGUUGAGUGAACUUUGUGGCCUUCCACAGAGAGUUCUCUGACCCUGCUGUAAGUCAGCUGGCCCUCCCACCAAGCACAGACUGUGGCUCGA